UUUCAAACCUCCACAACAAAAUCUUUUCCUUGGGUUUCCCGCGAUUUCUCAGUACCCAAACAAUGCAAAUGCUCCAAUCGGAGUUCAAAAACAGAUGUUAUUUACAAAUUGAUCAACUACUGAAAGAAGCAAUCCAUACAGAAUGAAGAAACCAUGAAGAGAAAGAGAUCAAUAGAUUCUAUAGUAAAAUCAGAAAGCAUAAAAAGAUACAAAUUACCUCUACAUAACAAAAGAGAAUGGG
RNAcentral lists this unclassified non-coding RNA (241 nucleotides) under Hevea brasiliensis (rubber tree). Lineage: Eukaryota; Viridiplantae; Streptophyta; Magnoliopsida; Malpighiales; Euphorbiaceae. The record is from RNAcentral.